Eucalyptus grandis is the source of this 721-nucleotide long non-coding RNA. RefSeq lists it as uncharacterized. Lineage: Eukaryota; Viridiplantae; Streptophyta; Magnoliopsida; Myrtales; Myrtaceae. The transcript is spliced from 3 exons. The record is from RefSeq and is a predicted model, not a curated record.
GAGCCAACGAACUAGAAAUUUCUGGAGGACCGGAUAGAGAGAGAGAGAGAGAGAGAGAGAGAGAGAGAGAGAGAGAGAUGGCUGCUUCUUUUACCAUCCACUCAUCUUCUUCUCUAGUUCCCACGACCAGAGCUUCGACGAUCUUCCAUUGAGGCCGCUACCAUUACCAGUUCCUCAUCUUCCACAGUCCCAACCAAGCCUCCAGAAAGCCCCUCUCUCUCAGGGUCCGAGCUGCCAAGCUUCCCUCUGGGGUGGAAGUGCCGAAAGUAGAGCCCAAGUUCCAGGCUCCAUUUCUCGGAUUCACAAGAACUGCCAAGGUUUGGAACUCCAGAGCUUGCAUGAUUGGCCUCAUCGGGACAUUCAUUGUCGAACUGAUAAUAAACAAAGGGAUUCUUCAGGUGAUUGGAGUGGAGGUGGGCAAGGGCCUUGAUCUUCCUCUCUAGAAAUUUCAGCUCCCCUCGUCGUAUUUGAAAUCUCCCUCUCUAGAUUUUCUUGUUGAAUAGCUUGCACAAUCGAUUCCAAAGGUUUUUUAAUUUGCUUGCAAAUGACACUAUUACCUUCCUCUUUUGACCAUCGAUAAGAUAAUACAGCAACAACUUAAAAAGAGUAUGAAUUUGAUCCUUCUGAAUGAAUAGCUAAUUUGUAUGUCUUCGAAACAGAGGUUGGUGCGGAUGUUUUAGAAUUGAUUUUUACUAAUCACUGCCAGGUUUCACUUGCUGAA